UGGCCUACGGGGGGCAGCAGUAGGGAAUCUUCCACAAUGGACGAAAGUCUGAUGGAGCAACGCCGCGUGAGUGAAGAAGUAUUUCGGUAUGUAAAGCUCUAUCAGCAGGGAAGAGAAUGACGGUACCUGACUAAGAAGCCCCGGCUAACUACGUGCCAGCAGCCGCGGUAAUACGUAGGAUGCGAGCGUUAUCCGGAUUUAUUGGGUUUAAAGGGUGCGUAGGCGGAAUGCCAAGUCAGCGGUAAAAUCGCGGGGCUCAACCUCGCUCCGCCGUUGAAACUGGCGUUCUUGAGUGGGCGAGAAGU
This 305-nucleotide ribosomal RNA is filed under the name uncultured bacterium. RNAcentral's name for it is "bacterial SSU rRNA". It matches the Rfam family "Bacterial small subunit ribosomal RNA", at positions 335 to 658 of the family's 1533-position model. The record is from RNAcentral.